Long non-coding RNA from Corticium candelabrum, 802 nucleotides. RefSeq lists it as uncharacterized. Lineage: Eukaryota; Metazoa; Porifera; Homoscleromorpha; Homosclerophorida; Plakinidae. The transcript has 3 exons. The record is from RefSeq and is a predicted model, not a curated record.
AUGUGACUUGCACCACUUACUCAAGUGAAGACAGAACAUGGAUGGAUAGAUGGUGUGAUAUGAUUGCUGUUUGUUGUAGGUAUGCAAUGGUGUUGAGUGGGUUGGAGUUAGUGGUUAUUCCAAAUUUAAAGGCUCAAAAUCUUACCCUGGAGCAUCAAGCAGACAACAAGCAGUGCAGUUGAAAAAGCCACAUUUACUGGAUACAACCACCAGGAUACUUACUGUGAUAUGGAAAUGGAUGAGGUGGUUGGAUGCUGCUCUACGCAUACAAACACAACAAAAACGACACUAAGUACAAUUUCGUUACUGCAUUGCCAACCAGCCCUGAUGGAUACUCACAUCAACUGCUCAAGAAUGUGGGAAUAUCUCCAGGGUUAUUAGUUAAUCACACAGUGUUGUCAAAGUUUUCAUGUGACCAAUCUGAUCGUUAAGUGUAGGUGGGCACAAGAGUUGAGAUUUUACUGCACCACAAGCCACCACAGUAGAGUUAUGCAUUUAAAACAAACCAGAGAAAUAUUAUUCGAACUCUGUGUCAAACUGGAGCUCAAAACUGAAAUGUUGACUGGACACACAGCACACCUUCCAGAUGCAACCAACAAUUUGUCUGUUACUUGACAUGUAGCAGGAAUAACAACAUUUUCAUUUUACCAUUAUAGUACCUACUAUUUGGGAAUUGCACCCAAAGGUUGAUCCAUGCAACUACAAUUAUGACACUCUCCACAUGUAGUUGUCAGAGAUUAGACAGUCACCGUAUUUCCAGUAAUAAUAGACUGUGCUCGAAUAAAGUGACCAUGGGAAUGAU